This 468-nucleotide ribosomal RNA is filed under the name uncultured bacterium. RNAcentral describes it as "partial 16S ribosomal RNA". It matches the Rfam family "Bacterial small subunit ribosomal RNA", at positions 28 to 507 of the family's 1533-position model. The record is from RNAcentral.
GACGAACGCUGGCGGCGUGCUUAACACAUGCAAGUCGAACGGAAAGGCCCUGCUUUUGUGGGGUGCUCGAGUGGCGAACGGGUGAGUAACACGUGAGUAACCUGCCCUUGACUUUGGGAUAACUUCAGGAAACUGGGGCUAAUACCGGAUAGGAGCUCCUGCUGCAUGGUGGGGGUUGGAAAGUUUCGGCGGUUGGGGAUGGACUCGCGGCUUAUCAGCUUGUUGGUGGGGUAGUGGCUUACCAAGGCUUUGACGGGUAGCCGGCCUGGGUGGGUGACCGGCCACAUUGGGACUGGGAUACGGCCCAGACUCCUACGGGAGGCAGCAGUGGGGAAUAUUGCACAAUGGGCGGAAGCCUGAUGCAGCAACGCCGCGUGCGGGAUGACGGCCUUCGGGUUGUAAACCGCUUGCGCCUGUGACGAAGCGUGAGUGACGGUAAUGGGUAAAGAAGCACCGGCUAACUACGUG